GCCAAAGCUGCGGGGUAACGAACAGAAACGCGAUUGAGGCUCUGGGAGUCAUUGAGGUGAGCGGCCCCAGGACUGCGAAACCGUCUUCCGACAACCUCCUGAGUAGAUCGCGUGCUCGCGCAGCGAAAGUUC
RNAcentral lists this non-coding RNA (132 nucleotides) under Allorhodopirellula solitaria. The record is from RNAcentral. Lineage: Bacteria; Pseudomonadati; Planctomycetota; Planctomycetia; Pirellulales; Pirellulaceae.